Molecule: transfer RNA, 65 nt
Filed under: Eubasilissa regina
Lineage: Eukaryota; Metazoa; Arthropoda; Insecta; Trichoptera; Phryganeidae
Description: tRNA-Cys
Source: RNAcentral
AGUUUUAUAUUCAAUAAAUGAUAUUAAAUUGCAAAUUUAAAGUAGUAAAAAAGUUACUAAAACUU